AAUAGGAGAAUGACAAAUCAGAUUUUUCCUCUUGAUUUUUAAUUUUUUUCUCCUAAAAAAUUCAAAUCCAACUAAAAAUGUUAAAAGUUCAGGAAGAAAAAUUUGAUUUGUCGUUCUCCUCUU
Molecule: non-coding RNA, 123 nt
Organism: Gossypium raimondii (Peruvian cotton)
Lineage: Eukaryota; Viridiplantae; Streptophyta; Magnoliopsida; Malvales; Malvaceae
Source: Rfam